Long non-coding RNA from Sapajus apella (tufted capuchin), 405 nucleotides. RefSeq lists it as uncharacterized. The record is from RefSeq and is a predicted model, not a curated record. NCBI's taxonomy places the organism in Eukaryota, Metazoa, Chordata, Mammalia, Primates, Cebidae. The transcript is spliced from 3 exons.
UAUAAGUUUUAUUUAUAAGACUGGAACAGACAAGAAUAUUAGUUUGAGGUUUUUUCCAAUUUAAAUUAAUAAAACAGGGAGAAUGACACAGAAGCUGCUAUUUACAAAAGACAAGUAUGACUAACGAAGGUCAGUUUUUAUUCUGAAAUAGGAAUAAUGACCUAUGCAAAGCGAUCAUUUUAUAAACAUUGAUCUAAAUGUUUGAUACUUGUGGACUUUUUUUUCUUAGGGAAAAAAAGAUUGACAUCAACUCUUUGGCAUCAUCUUUUAAAAUCAUUUCUUCUGGGAUUGUUAUCCAUCAGAGUGCUUAUAUAUGUCUAGGAUAGAUGUCUACGAAUGCAUUCUGAGGCCAGGAGCAGCGGCUCAUGCCUAUCCAGGAGCGGUGGCUCAUGCCUAUAAUCACAG